CCCUUAGAUGUUCUGGGCCGCACGCGCGCUACACUGACGAAUGCAACGAGCUUAUAACCUUGGCCGAAAGGUCUGGGUAAUCUCCAAAUUUCGUCGUGAUGGGGAUAGAUUAUUGCAAUUAUUAAUCUUCAACGAGGAAUGCCCAGUAAGCGCAAGUCAUCAGCUUGCGUUGAUUACGUCCCUGCCCUUUGUACACACCGCCCGUCGCUCCUACCGAUUGAAUGGUCCGGUGAAGCGUUCGGACCGUGGCCUUUGGACGGUUCGCCGUCUGUUGGCUGCGGGAAGUUCGUUAAACCUUAUCAUUUAGAGGAAGGAGAANUCGUANCA
RNAcentral lists this ribosomal RNA (327 nucleotides) under uncultured eukaryote. RNAcentral describes it as "partial 18S ribosomal RNA". It matches the Rfam family "Eukaryotic small subunit ribosomal RNA", at positions 1470 to 1796 of the family's 1831-position model. The record is from RNAcentral.